This is a non-coding RNA of Pelobates cultripes (western spadefoot toad), 215 nucleotides long. Lineage: Eukaryota; Metazoa; Chordata; Amphibia; Anura; Pelobatidae. The record is from the annotation of a GenBank genome assembly.
CAACUGUCUUCGACAUGUUAAUAGCUUUCUUCCCUCCGGCUUUCAUGCCAGCAAUUAUAGCAUCUCUAUAGGUUUUAAGUUGAGCCAUAUCUGCGCCAUUUACAUUCCAGUCAGGAUCGGUGUUAGGGUAAUGUGUUGCGGCCCAUGCUGCCGGAUUGGCUUGAUUUAAAGCACGGGCUCUCUCCUCCAGCGCCUUAAUGGCCGCUUGGUUAAUC